GAUGAACGCUAGCGAUAGGCCUAACACAUGCAAGUCGAGGGGCAUCACAUGAAGUAGCAAUACGGAUGGUGGCGACCGGCGCACGGGUGAGUAACACGUAUGCAACCUGCCUUCAACAAGGGGAUAACCCGUUGAAAGACGGACUAAUACCCUAUAACACAGGGGUCCCGCAUGGGAAUAUUUGUUAAAGGACAACCGGUUGAAGAUGGGCAUGCGUUCCAUUAGCUAGUUGGCGGGGUAACGGCCCACCAAGGCAACGAUGGAUAGGGGAACUGAGAGGUUUAUCCCCCACACUGGUACUGAGACACGGACCAGACUCCUACGGGAGGCAGCAGUGAGGAAUAUUGGUCAAUGGACGCAAGUCUGAACCAGCCACGUCGCGUGAAGGAAGACGGCCCUACGGGUUGUAAACUUCUUUUAUACGGGAAUAAAGUGCCCCACGCGUGGGGUUUUGCAUGUACCGUAUGAAUAAGGAUCGGCUAACUCCGUGCCAGCAGCCGCGGUAAGUCUGA
Molecule: ribosomal RNA, 512 nt
Filed under: uncultured bacterium
Lineage: Bacteria
Description: bacterial SSU rRNA
Rfam family: Bacterial small subunit ribosomal RNA
Source: RNAcentral